GUAGGGUGCGAGCGUUGUCCGGAAUUAUUUGGCGUAAAGGGCUCGUAGGCGGUUUGUCGCGUCGGGAGUGAAAACCUCGGGCUUAACUCGGGGCUUGCUUUCGAUACGGGCAGACUGGAGGUAUGCAGGGGAGAACGGAAUUCCUGGUGUAGCGGUGAAAUGCGCAGAUAUCAGGAGGAACACCGGUGGCGAAGGCGGUUCUCUGGGCAUGACCUGACGCUGAGGAGCGAAAGUGUGGGGAGCGAACAGGAUUAGAUACCCUGGUAGUCCACACCGUAAACGUUGGGCGCUAGGUGUGGGAUCCAUUCCACGGGUUCCGUGCCGCAGCUAACGCAUUAAGCGCCCCGCCUGGGGAGUACGGGCGCAAGGCUA
This 372-nucleotide ribosomal RNA is filed under the name uncultured bacterium. RNAcentral's name for it is "bacterial SSU rRNA". It matches the Rfam family "Bacterial small subunit ribosomal RNA", at positions 527 to 896 of the family's 1533-position model. The record is from RNAcentral.